ACGCUCGACACCUACGAGGCAGCAGUGGGGAAUAUUGCACAAUGGGGGAAACCCGUGAUGCAGCAACGCCGCGUGAAGGAAGACGGUUUUCGGAUUGUAAACUUACUGUUCUUAGUGAAGAUAGUGACGGUAGCUAAGGAGCAAGCCACGGCUAACUACGUGCCUGCAGCCGCGGUAAUCUGAGCGGGCUGGCAAGGC
This 198-nucleotide ribosomal RNA is filed under the name uncultured bacterium. RNAcentral describes it as "partial 16S ribosomal RNA". It matches the Rfam family "Bacterial small subunit ribosomal RNA", at positions 326 to 539 of the family's 1533-position model. The record is from RNAcentral.